This 5341-nucleotide long non-coding RNA is filed under the name Ananas comosus (pineapple). RNAcentral's name for it is "long non-coding RNA (ACOM_LNC014009)". Lineage: Eukaryota; Viridiplantae; Streptophyta; Magnoliopsida; Poales; Bromeliaceae. The record is from RNAcentral.
CGCGAGCGGUGGAGUAAGAGGGAAGGUAGGAGCAGGUAAAGGAGGAGGAGGAAGAAGAAGGGUUGGAGAGGGAGAGGGUGUGGUGGGAGGAGGAGAGGUAGGUGGAGUCGGGGACGAAGGAACGAGGAGGGGCGUCGUGGGAGAGAGUGGUGGAGGAGGAGGCGCCGCAGGAGAGGAAGAGGAAGGAGGAAUUUGGGGUGAUUGAGGAGGAGAAGGGGAGGAGAGAGAAUACUAAGAGCCCUACGAAGAGCACAAGUGACUCCAUUAGAGAGGAUGAGAGAGAGCGAGAGAGAGAUAUCAGAGGGGUAUAUAAUAACGGAGGUAGGGGGAGGAAGAGUGUGAGUGGGGAGGGAUAAAGAAGAGAGCAGUGAGUGGCUGUGGCCAUGUGGGGUGGUGAGUGGACCGUAAUGUAUGAUUGAUUGACUUGUGACUGUACUAACAAUGAUUAAUAUAAAAUAAAAAAAUUUUAAAAUGUAAAGAAUAUAUCGAUGACAUUGCGUAACAAAUUAAUCAAAUAUUUUUUUUAGAGAUAUAUAUUUUAUUAUGAUUGUAAAAAAAAAAUUUAUUAUAUUUUUAUUUGAAAAAAAAAAUAUAAUUAUUUUGUUAUUGAUGACAAGGUGCAAAUAUUACAAUGCAUUUCUCAAAAUUUCUCGUAAAAUGGGAGAUCAAAUUGCCUACGCCCUUGCAUGUAUCCAACACAGGAGAUGGCCCAAUCGGAGAGUGUCACGCGGCAUUCCCCACGGAGUCACAUCAAUAUUAAUUUGCGCAAUGGUAUUCCAUAGAUCCGAUACGAGAAAGAUUAAUAAUAAUGAAUUGGGCUGUUAUACUAUUAAUAAUAAUUAAAAUUUAAUUUUUAAUUUUUAAAUAAAAAAUUAUAAAAUUAGAACGAUAGUCAUUUUUUAGAAUUUAGUAAUAAUUUGUUGGCGUUAAGUGGGUAGUUGGUUAAAUAAUACGAUUUAAAAGAUAAAAUUAAUUAAAAUAUAGAUCUAACGAUUAAAAAAAUUAAUAGUAAAAAUUUAAAUACUAUUAAUAAUAUUCCAGCUCAAUACUAAUAACAAUUAAUAAUAUAUAAUCAAUGAAAAUAUUUUUGUUUGAAAGAAAAAAUAUUACGAUUUUUUUUAUAAACUAUGAUAUGAUAUCUAUCUAUUACUAUAUACUAAAGUAGAACCCUUAAUGAACUCUAUGUGAAAAGCUGACACGUGGCGCUUUAUAUGUUUGCCACGUGUCAAACUCAAAUAUAGAUUUUUUAUUUUUUUAAAAAAAAAUUAGAUUUUUUAAGAAAAUAAUAUUUUUUACUCUAUAGAAAAUCUACGCUUAGGGAAUAUUUCAAAUCUACGCUUAGGGCCUGUUUGUUUCGAGGGAAGUGGGGUGGAAGUGGGACGGGGGAAGUGAUUUUCGGUGAAAACUGAUCACUUCCGUUGUUUGGUUCACCGUAAUUUUAUUACGCCCGAAAGUCUAGUUCACCUAAAAUAAUGAACUUGACUUCGCCCUCCCAUUGGGCGAAGUCAAUUCCGGUGAAGUGAAAAAAAGGCAAGAAUGGAUUAAUGUGUUAGGGUUACCUCUUCUAAAAUAUGAUCAAAUUUGAUUAGGUAAGCUUUAAUAUAUUUUUUGUUUAAUUUGUAUAUUUAGAAAAUGGUGAAAAAUGAAUUUGUUAAAUGUUAAUAAUUUUUUAACUUUAGAAUUUUAUUUGUUGCAUUAUUAUAAUUUAUAUGCAAACAAAUAAUAUAAUUUUUUAAAAUUUUAUUUUAUAAUUAUACAUAUAUAUAAUUAUAUACAUAUAUAAUUAUAUUAAUUUUUAUUUAUUAUAAUUUAUUAUUCACUAUAAGUUACCAAAAUAGACAAUAAAUCACUUUAAAGGUAAAUAUACGGGGGUGAGAGCUACACUUUUACGCAUCUAACUUCCUACCAAACAAACAACAGAAUCGCAGAACUGCAUUCCGCAGUUAGAAACAAACAGCAGAAGUGAACUAAUUUCAUCCCAACUCCACUUCAACUACAAAGUCCAUUCCACCCCAAGUCUACUUACGUUAAACAAACAUGCCCUUAGGGAAUAUUUCAAAGCCACCUAUAUUUAUGUGCCGGAUAUUUACUACUUUAAGAAAAUAUUGACUACUUUAAAGAAAAAUAAAAUUAAAUUUUUAAAAGGAAAUAGUAUCUUUUCCAAGAGUCCGCUACGGUACUUGUAAAAGUACAAAGCACUUAGUUCUUUAAAUUUUUUACCGUUAGACUCUACACUUUGAUUGAUCAUUUUACCCGUUAGAUUAUAUACUAUUCACCAACUACCACUCAACCCUAAGGGCCACAUCAUCUUAAACCGCACAUCUCCUUAAUCCAAGGGCCGAAAACUUACAAGUACCAAUGACUUGGUACUUUAAAAGCAUAGGACCGCUCAAUUCUUUUUACAAUAUUAAUUAAAAAAUCACCUUAUAAUGAAUGAGGUGAUUUUAUUUCAAAGUCACCUAUAAUUAUUGUUGAGAUAUUUGAGAAAUUCCACGCGAAAUGAAUUGGCGGGUGCGGAUAUUAUUGUUUUAGAAAAAUAAUCACGUGUCAAUUCAAAUAUAAUAUUUAUUUUAGAAAAGAUAGAAAAUAGGACUAUAAAUGCGGGUAAUAUUGUCACAAAAAUUAACAGAUAUUUUUAUUUUCAAUCAUUAGAUACAUCUAAUGGUAAAAAAUUAAUAUCUUUUGCUAUAUUAUAAAAUCACCUAUAAUGAAGGAAAAAUUUCCAAAGUCACCUAUAAUUAUGUUGAGAUAUUUAAAAAAUUCACCGGAUAUUAUGUGGCAAAAAAAUUGAAAGUGGCAAUAAUUAUUGCGUGACGAAGAAAAAAUAUUACUUUUUAUUUGGGAAUAAAUUACUACUUAGUUAAUUAUUUAAAUGAUUGGUGAAAAUUCUGGACAUAAAAAUAUUAGUAAAAAAGAUAGAGACAUUUUGAAAGAGAAAAAAUUCAAAACUCACGGUUUUUAUAAAAAAAUUAAUAUCUUUACUAUAUUAUUAAAAAUCACAUACAAUGAAGAAAAUUUUAUUUCAAAGUCACCUAUAAUUAUGUUGAGAUAUUUUGAAAAAUUUAUGGAUAUUAUGUUGCGAAAGAAAUUGGCGGUGCGGAUAUUACGCGUGAGAAGGAAAAUAUUUAUAUUAUUUGGAAUAAAUUAUUACUUAGUUAAUUAUUUAAAUGAUUGGUUGAAAAUUUUUGGACAUAAAAAUAUUAGUAAAAAAAUAGAACAUUUUUGGAAAGAAAAAAAAUAUUUAAAACUCACAUCACUCGUCUAAUUUUCUUCCUCUUAAAUAUUGAUGCUUAAUAGAACAUAUUAUUUCCAUACUGUCACUUCUGUAAUUUUUCAUUUCGUAAUUUUUUUCCUUAUGUCACUCAUGUAACUUCAUCUUCAUGGCAAUAAAGUUUUUUUUCUUUAUAUUUUCUUGAAAACUAAACAUCUAUAUAUUUUUGAAUUUUAAAAGCGACAGUAAGAACAUAAUAAUGUGUACUACUCCUAAUUUGCUGUCAAAUAUGAAAGUUUAGUUGAUCUCAUUUAAUGCCUUAAAUAUUAAUGUCAUUUGUAAUUUUUCAUAUCAAUUUUAGUUAUUAUAUUUAUUUCGCACAUCAAUAUGAAAGUAAAUUAUUUUGCAUACGAAUUCGUAGAUAAAUAGAGCAGGAAUUGAAUUUUGCAUUUUAGUUGAAUAUUUACUUUGUCGCAAAUUUUUUUCUCUAACUGUGUACUUUAAUAUGUACUAUAAUUAAGAUUGAUAGUACAUUUUUUUUAUUUGUUAAAAAAUAUAAAUUAAUUAAAAAAUCUUUUAUUAUCAUCACAUAUAUUUAUAUUCUAUCUAUAGAUUAUAUUUNNNNNNNNNNNNNNNNNNNNNNNNNCCAGGUGAGCUCCGCGGCCGCGACUUGCUCGAUUAGGCUCACGGAAUUCAGCGUCCCGGCGUGUACGGCGACCACGACGAGACGGCGUCGUCUUCGCUUUUCGGCGCGGACAGUGAGCCGGUACCUUGCCGCAGACAAAAAUGGCCGCGCCGGAGAAUUAUGGCGACGGCGACGACGGUGAGACACGAGGCAAGGAUACCGUCGUACGGAAUCUAUGUCGUUGUUUCGCCGCCCGAGUUGUUACACCUUGAAAAUCUCUAACCCGUUGAGGAAAGAUUGCGAAUUGUGCUCAGCGGCGACAUGCGCGAGCUGAGUUGAGGCUCUCCCGUCGGCGUCGACUACGAAGUCGGACGAAAGCCUCGGCGAGUUGAUUGGUGAAGUCGCUGGGGUUGAGAAUUGGAUACGCCGAGAGCCCAUGACGUACACGUGUGAAUUUGAGGCCGGAGUUGAGCGACGCGUCAGCGUCGGCGAGAUGACGGUCGCAGAAGUGGCCCGGACGAGGUAAGCUGACCCGGAUCGACGGGGAAGUCCACGUUAAGUUGGCGUUCUGAAGUCGGGUUCGAAUCAGGCAGCAGCGGCCGACACGGCCACGGUGCGGGCCGUGUCGUAGACGCUCGCGCGGGGCGAUCGCCGGGAGUGCGCCCCGCGCGGCGUCGUAGACGACGUUACCAGCGGGGUGGGAGUUGACUAGGAGAGGUCGGGGUCGAAGAGGAAGGGUUCGGUCGGGGACCCACGUCCGCCACAGGGUGUCGUUGGCGCGGGGUGACCUCGGGGCCGCCGACGUUGACCCGGUGAGGGUUCGCAGGCUGCGCUCGAGAGUGGACGGAGGAGCGGCGCGGCGCCGACCGGGGUGGGGAGGGGGUCGGAGAGGAGCUCGGUGGGAUGGGAAGAGCUCGACGCGGAGACGAAGGCGAGGAGGAGGGGGGAGGGGGAGAAGGAGAGGGCGAGGAGGGUGGCGCGGCGGGGAGGAGGAACUCGCGAUGGUGAGGUUGGAGGGGGGGAGAAGGAGGAGAGGAGGGCGAACGCGGUCGAGGCGGAGAACGUCGAAGAGGGGAGGGAGAGGUUGGGGAGGGGAGGGGAAGGGGAGAAGUGGAGGCGGAGGACGUAAGAGCCGGGGGAUGGAGACGGGGAGGUUGUGGAGAAGGGGAGGUGGAAGCGAGCGGUGAGUAGAGAGGUGGGAGGAGGAGGAGGAGGAGGAGGAGGAAGAAGAAGGGUUGGAGAGGGAGAGGGUGUGGUGGGAGGAGGAGAGGUAGGUGGAGUCGGGGACGAAGGAACGAGGAGGGGCGUCGUGGGAGAGAGUGGUGGAGGAGGAGGCGCCGCAGGAGAGGAAGAGGAAGGAGGAAUUUGGGGUGAUUGAGGAGGAGAAGGGGAGGAGAGAGAAUACUAAGAGCCCUACGAAGAGCACAAGUGACUCCAUUAGAGAGGAUAAGAGAGAGAGAGAGAGAGAGAGAUAUCAGAGGGGUAUAUAAUAAUGGAGGUAGGGG